RNAcentral lists this ribosomal RNA (253 nucleotides) under uncultured bacterium. Its description in RNAcentral is "partial 16S ribosomal RNA". It matches the Rfam family "Bacterial small subunit ribosomal RNA", at positions 524 to 776 of the family's 1533-position model. The record is from RNAcentral.
UACAGAGGUCUCAAGCGUUGUUCGGAUUCAUUGGGCGUAAAGGGUGCGUAGGCGGCGCGGCAAGUGGGGUGUGAAAGCCCUCGGCUCAACCGAGGAAUUGCGCUCCAAACUACCGUGCUCGAGGGAGAUAGAGGUUAGCGGAACUUCGGGUGGAGCGGUGAAAUGCGUUGAUAUCCGAAGGAACACCGGUGGCGAAAGCGGCUAACUGGGUCUUCUCUGACGCUGAUGCACGAAAGCCAGGGUAGCAAACGGG